GGGCCUGCGUUUCAUUAGCUAGUUGGUAGGGUAAUGGCCUNCCAAGGCAACGAUGAGUAGCUGGUCUGAAGAGGAUGAUCAGCCACACUGGAAYUGAAACACAGGUCCAGACUCCUACGGGAGGCAGCAGUGGGGAAUAUUGCGCAAUGGGCGAAAGCCUGACAGCAGAAACGCCGUGUGAGGGAUGAAGGCUUUCGGGUCGUAAACCUCUGUCGGAAGGGAAGAACGGGCAUUGGUCUAAUAGGCCUUUGUUUUGACGGUACCUUUAGAGGAAGCACCGGCUAACUCCGUGCCAGCAGCCGCGGUAAUACGGAGGGUGCAAGCGUUAUUCGGAAUUGCUGGGCGUAAAGCGCACGUAGGCGGCUUNGUAAGUCAGGGGUGAAAUCCCACGGCUCAACCGUGGAACUGCCUUUGAAACUGCAGAGCUUGAAUCCUGGAGAGGGUGGCGGAAUUCCUGGUGUAGGAGUGAAAUCCGUAGAUAUCAGGAGGAACACCGGUGAGGAAUGCCGGACCCGCUCGUGUGUACAGUUCCAGUGUGCAUCGUAGAGUCGACUGCACAUACGUUCAGAGCCAGCUACUCAUCGUUAGCCUUCGGUAGUCACAUUCACCCUCACUCAACUGAGUCGUAAUGAGACGCRGGCCC
This 643-nucleotide ribosomal RNA is filed under the name uncultured delta proteobacterium. Its description in RNAcentral is "bacterial SSU rRNA". It matches the Rfam family "Bacterial small subunit ribosomal RNA", at positions 227 to 729 of the family's 1533-position model. Lineage: Bacteria; Deltaproteobacteria. The record is from RNAcentral.